AUGUUCAUUUUCUAAUCACAGAUAUCAGAGUUAAAGCUACACAGAGAUGUCUAGCAUGGUCCCUGUACAAGGAUGACAUGCAAACCCAUGUCAUAUAUAAUAUAUAU
Small nuclear RNA from Dipodomys ordii (Ord's kangaroo rat), 107 nucleotides. The record is from Ensembl. Lineage: Eukaryota; Metazoa; Chordata; Mammalia; Rodentia; Heteromyidae.